RNAcentral lists this ribosomal RNA (643 nucleotides) under Stagonosporopsis cucumeris. Its description in RNAcentral is "partial large subunit ribosomal RNA". It matches the Rfam family "Eukaryotic large subunit ribosomal RNA", at positions 124 to 785 of the family's 3401-position model. Lineage: Eukaryota; Fungi; Ascomycota; Dothideomycetes; Pleosporales; Didymellaceae. The record is from RNAcentral.
GGCGUCUUCGGCGUCCGAGUUGUAAUUUGCAGAGGGCGCUUUGGCAUUGGCAGCGGUCCAAGUUCCUUGGAACAGGACGUCACAGAGGGUGAGAAUCCCGUACGUGGUCGCUAGCCUUUACCGUGUAAAGCCCCUUCGACGAGUCGAGUUGUUUGGGAAUGCAGCUCUAAAUGGGAGGUAAAUUUCUUCUAAAGCUAAAUACUGGCCAGAGACCGAUAGCGCACAAGUAGAGUGAUCGAAAGAUGAAAAGCACUUUGGAAAGAGAGUUAAAAAGCACGUGAAAUUGUUGAAAGGGAAGCGCUUGCAGCCAGACUUGCCUGUAGUUGCUCAUCCGGGUUUCUACCCGGUGCACUCUUCUAUAGGCAGGCCAGCAUCAGUUUGGGCGGUUGGAUAAAGGUCUCUGUCAUGUACCUCCUUUCGGGGAGAUCUUAUAGGGGAGACGACAUGCAACCAGCCUGGACUGAGGUCCGCGCAUCUGCUAGGAUGCUGGCGUAAUGGCUGUAAGCGGCCCGUCUUGAAACACGGACCAAGGAGUCUAACAUCUAUGCGAGUGUUUGGGUGUCAAGCCCGAACGCGUAAUGAAAGUGAACGGAGGUGGGAACCUUUCGGGGUGCACCAUCGACCGAUCCUGAUGUCUUCGGAU